RNAcentral lists this ribosomal RNA (361 nucleotides) under Dermacentor niveus. RNAcentral describes it as "partial large subunit ribosomal RNA". Lineage: Eukaryota; Metazoa; Arthropoda; Arachnida; Ixodida; Ixodidae. The record is from RNAcentral.
AAGGUAUUGUAAUAAGAUUUUAAUUGAAUGCUAAAAGAAUGGAAUUACAGGGAAAAGUUUUUUUAAAUUUAAUAAUUAAAGUUAUUUUAAUUUGUGAAGAAACAAUUAUGAAAAUUAAAGACAAGAAGACCCUAAGAAUUUAUGAAUUUUUGAUAUGUAUAUAUAAAUUAUUUAUACAAAUAAAAUUCUUGGUUGGGGCAACUAAAAAAUAUAUAAAACUUUUUUUUUAUUUAAAAUGACCCAUUAUUAAUGAUUAUAUGGAAAAAAUACUCUAGGGAUAACAGCGUAAUAAUUUUUGAUAGAUCUUAUAGACAAAAUAGUUUGCGACCUCGAUGUUGGAUUAGGAUACUUCUUUAAUGAA